UACGUAGGGGGCAAGCGUUAUCCGGAUUUACUGGGUGUAAAGGGAGCGUAGACGGACUGGCAAGUCUGAUGUGAAAGGCGGGGGCUCAACCCCUGGACUGCAUUGGAAACUGUUAGUCUUGAGUACCGGAGAGGUAAGCGGAAUUCCUAGUGUAGCGGUGAAAUGCGUAGAUAUUAGGAGGAACACCAGUGGCGAAGGCGGCUUACUGGACGGUAACUGACGUUGAGGCUCGAAAGCGUGGGGAGCAAACAGG
This 253-nucleotide ribosomal RNA is filed under the name Blautia obeum. RNAcentral's name for it is "partial 16S ribosomal RNA". It matches the Rfam family "Bacterial small subunit ribosomal RNA", at positions 524 to 776 of the family's 1533-position model. The record is from RNAcentral. Lineage: Bacteria; Bacillati; Bacillota; Clostridia; Lachnospirales; Lachnospiraceae.